CCUACGGGAGACAGCAGUGGGGAAUAUUGCACAAUGGGGGAAACCCUGAUGCAGCGACGCCGCGUGAGUGAAGAAGUAAUUCGUUAUGUAAAGCUCUAUCAGCAGGGAAGAAAAUGACGGUACCUGAGUAAGAAGCCCCGGCUAACUACGGGCCAGCAGCCGCGGUAAUACGUAGGGGGCAAGCGUUAUCCGGAUUUACUGGGUGUAAAGGGAGCGUAGACGGCUGUGCAAGUCUGGAGUGAAAGGCGGGGGCUCAACCCCCAGACUGCUCUGGAAACUGUACGGCUGGAGUGCAGGAGAGGUAAGCGGAAUUCCUAGUGUAGCGGUGAAAUGCGUAGAUAUUAGGAGGAACACCAGUGGCGAAGGCGGCUUACUAGACUGUCACUGACGUUGAGGCUCGAAAGCGUGGGGAGCAAACAGGAUUAGAUACCCUAGUAGUC
This 440-nucleotide ribosomal RNA is filed under the name uncultured bacterium. RNAcentral's name for it is "partial 16S ribosomal RNA". It matches the Rfam family "Bacterial small subunit ribosomal RNA", at positions 338 to 795 of the family's 1533-position model. The record is from RNAcentral.